Molecule: transfer RNA, 73 nt
Rfam family: tRNA
About the family: Transfer RNA (tRNA) molecules are approximately 80 nucleotides in length. Their secondary structure includes four short double-helical elements and three loops (D, anti-codon, and T loops).
GCCUCGGUGGUGUAGCGGCCUAGCAUAGGGGCCUGUCGAGCCCCUGACCCGGGUUCAAAUCCCGGCCGAGGCG